UACGGAGGAUGCGAGCGUUAUCCGGAUUUACUGGGUGUAAAGGGAGCGUAGACGGCGCGGCAAGUCUGAAGUGAAAGGCAGGGGCUUAACCCCUGAACUGCUUUGGAAACUGCCAUGCUAGAGUGCUGGAGAGGUAAGUGGAAUUCCUAGUGUAGCGGUGAAAUGCGUAGAUAUUAGGAGGAACACCGGUGGCGAAGGCGGCUUACUGGACCGUAACUGACGCUGAGGAGCGAAAGCGUGGGGAGCGAACAGG
Molecule: ribosomal RNA, 253 nt
Filed under: uncultured Lachnospiraceae bacterium
Lineage: Bacteria; Bacillati; Bacillota; Clostridia; Lachnospirales; Lachnospiraceae
Description: partial 16S ribosomal RNA
Rfam family: Bacterial small subunit ribosomal RNA
Source: RNAcentral